GGGGCCGUAGUCUAGCUUGGUCAAGAUUCCUGCUUGGGGUGCAGGCGACCGUGAGUUCAAAUCUCACCGGCCCCA
This 75-nucleotide transfer RNA is filed under the name Nitrososphaerota archaeon. RNAcentral describes it as "Thaumarchaeota archaeon tRNA-Pro". It matches the Rfam family "tRNA". Rfam says of the family: Transfer RNA (tRNA) molecules are approximately 80 nucleotides in length. Their secondary structure includes four short double-helical elements and three loops (D, anti-codon, and T loops). The record is from RNAcentral. Lineage: Archaea; Thermoproteati; Nitrososphaerota.